UCAAGUGACUGCCCAAUCAACUGGCGAUGGUAGUUUAUGUGCCUACCAUGGUUGUAACGGGUAACGGGGAAUCAGGGUUCGAUUCCGGAGAGAGAGCAUGAGAAACGGCUAUCACAUCCAAGGAAGGCAGCAGGCGCGCAAAUUACCCAAUCCUAGAUCGGGGAGGUAGUGACGAAAAAUAACAAUGCCGCAGUCGAAUAGACUCGGCAAUUGGAAUGAGUACAAUCUAAAUCCUUUAACGAGGAACAAUUGGAGGGCAAGUUCUGGUGCCAGCAGCCGCGGUAAUUCCAGCUCGAAUAGCGUAUAUUAAAGUUGUUGCAGUUAAAAAGCUCGUAGUUGGAUAUCAGGAGAUGAUUCACGGACUUCUUAAUGGAGCAACCGUGUUUUCGCUCCUCUUUGUACCGUUUCAUCGUCGAUGCACUUUAUUGUGUGUCACGUUUGAACGGCCUUUUUACUUUGAGAAAAUUAGCGUGCUUAACGCAGGCGUUACAGCUUGUAUAAUGUUGCAUGGAAUAAUGAAAUAGGACCUCGGUUCUGUUUUGUUGGUAUGCGGAUGCUGA
Molecule: ribosomal RNA, 560 nt
Filed under: Macracanthorhynchus hirudinaceus (giant thorny-headed worm)
Lineage: Eukaryota; Metazoa; Acanthocephala; Archiacanthocephala; Oligacanthorhynchida; Oligacanthorhynchidae
Description: SSU rRNA
Rfam family: Eukaryotic small subunit ribosomal RNA
Source: RNAcentral